GGGAGAGUUAAAGGCGUUGCAUUGAGUUUCUGGCAUGUUUUUGUUGCUCAGAAGCUUGUGCAGGAGUUUCCAAAAGCACACGGGUGAUUAGCUGUGCUCUUUUCCUGUGCUUUACGCAUCUGAUCCUUUCUGAACAACUGAAGUCCAUAAAGAAAAAUAAGAGAUGAGACAAAAUGAAAGGAGGUAGAUGGAGAUUUUGCAGUUUGGAACAAUAUCAAUAGAUACACAGGAUGCAGCUCAGGAUACAUUAUCGUGUCCUGUCAGGCAGCAGGAGGAUAAGAACUCCAUAUUUUGAUGACACGACUAACUGGAUCAUUCUGCAUUUGUCUAGAAGCAGACAAAAGAGAAGAAGAACUACGUAUCCCAGAGGACCUCGUGGUCAGAGAAGGAAGAUACAUCAUGGAAGAUACGUCAUCUGGUUGCACAUGGUCUCUCACUUUCGCUUGCUGCUAGGGAGAGGAGUGGGUGUGCUUUCCAAGCCGUGUGCCUUCAUCAGUCCUGAGUGAACUUUGGUAAGACUGGCAAUCCAAGGCUUGUGUGCCAGCAGCUUUGAUGGUGGAAAGGAUGCUUCUGAGUUAAGUAUAGUGGUCCCUGGUAAAGGUGUCUUUUCACUCUCCCUUUCAUGGUGUUUGUUGCUGUUGUUGUAGUUUGUUUGUUUUGGUUUCUUUUCCCCCUCAUUUUUAUUUGCAGGACAGUAAUGUUUUGAACCAAGGAAAAUCCACAUGGAAGUCUUUAUGUCAGACAAGGAGGAGCAGUGGCCAGGAAGAUGAGAUGCUAAGAUUUUCUGAUUUGUGAAAUGAAAUCAGAUGAUGUAUGGAAUCAAAAGGAAAAUUUGUACCAGUACUUGAAGAUGAAAAAUGGCUCACAGAUUUAGCAUUUUUGGAUAACUCUCUGAAGAACAACAACCUGAAGAGAUGAAACCAACUGUUGACUGCUGAAACAUUCCUUAGGACUAGCAGCCAAUGAACUUGAAAAAAUAGAGAAACAAAAUGGCUUAACACCUUAAUGUCAAGAGAGACUUCUAAUGAUGGAAAUGUUCUAGGCUGGAUCACUAAGAUAAGUAUUAAUAACAAUCUCCUGUUAUUUUUGUCUUCUAUACGUAGCGCAGAAGAAUAAGUGACUCCUUCCAGUCCUGUGGGUAUUGUUAAUGACAAGCUGCUUGGCUUUGUUUUUCUACCUUUCCUUAUUUAUUUCACUUACUAUCAUAUCUAGGCAGUUUCAGAGAGUUUUAUCAUUUCUUGUCAAAUCUAUCUUGAUCACUUAUCAUUCAAAUGGAUGUUUAAUAUCAAGCUUCAAUGCUCACAGACCUUUUCAGGACUCAGAAGCAGGUAUUUUACAUCCUGAAUAUAUAGUUAUAUGUAAAACGCUCUGAGUUAACUGUCUCGUGGCCUUUAUAUUCUCUUGAAUCAUCUUCUGAUUUCUAUUGACAAAAUGAAAAUACUUAGUUAAGGUUGUAGGCAAAAAAAUAAGUGCAGAAGGUAUAUAGUGUAUGCAAUACAUAGCCAUUACACUGAGUCCUAAAUAAGCCUAGAGGAAGACUGAACAGUAGUGCUGCAAGGAGUCAACAAUCUCAUUUAUCUUUGUGAGCUCCCAACUCCCACAUAGUCAGUACCAGGCACUUGAGUAAACAAUGCAAACAAACUCACUGAAUAAAGAUGGGAAAACUGAAAACCUGCACUAAUUCCUAAAAAGUAAAUACUUCAUACCCUGUCACAGAAGGGUUAUGAAAAAAUAGUAUGGAGAAGAAGAAAUGGUUUAAAAAGCCUAAAAAGCAGAAAUUGAGCCAUUCUUAUUAUAUGCACAGUCUAUUCUGAGCAAAACAUUUUUGUCAGAUCACAGUGCUGUAUCUUUUUUUUAUGUGCAGUUUGGAAAAACAGAGCAGUCUCUGCUUCACUAUGCUGAUUGUUUUGUCUCAUGCACGACCAUGUCUCUAAAUUUGCCACCCACAGCCCUGACAGCCUCUCUACCCUCCAUCACCCUCAUUUAAAAAAAUAAAAUCUCUGUUAGAUUACAUCUCUAGGGCAGGCACAAAAGCAACUGUGUAGAGAUCCCUGAUUUGAUCUAUAGAAGCUAUCUUGUACACUAGUGGGAUUCUAGUCUUGAGAGCAGAACACAAAUUCAUGUACCCUGCAGCUUGGCUUGGUUUUGCAGCCUAUGCAGCACUUUGUGCUGCCACAGCCAAAUUGGUACUGAUACUUUAAGUAAGUGUCGCAAUAUAUCUAAGUCAGUUUUAUGCUAACUGCAGUCACUGCUACAACCUCAGCAUUGGUGCUCCCUCCUUUACAGCCUGCGUAUUCAGCCACCACUCCAUAUAUUUGUUCUUCUGCUAGGCUAUUUGCUCUUCUUUCACAUACAAAAUAAAUUGUAUAUAUUCUUUUAUAUUCACAAGUAAUUUUUUACUUUCUGGCUUCCCUAUUUCUGUAUCAUCUCAUAUGUGUUACAGAACAUUGCUGGCUAGCCCCAUAUUGCUGUAAAGGCAUAGAGAGUCUCUAUUUCCAUUAUCACAUUUAAAUACUUCAGAAGAAACCAUGCAUUAUGUAUUCUGAAUACUUACUAAAACAUCUUGAUCCUUAAAAAGAGUUUGGUGUCUUUCACUAUCUUUUUCCCUACUUUACACUGGGGCCGAUAACUUUUGGAAUUACAUGAAACCUAGAGAACUGGGAAAAUGAGCCGGAGAGAAAAAUGUAUUUAAUUUUCAGAUAACAAAGCAGUCAGGAAAAGGACUGAAUAAGUCAAGAUAGUAGAAGCAUGGAAAGGUUGCCUUGCCCUCUCUAAACGCUUGGAGAAAUUGUUUCAUAAAGAAAUGGAAGAAAAAAUACAUUUUGUUAUGUUUAUUGUAUUUCUGUGCAGAGGAAGGGGUGAAACUGCAAAGAAAGGAGGCAGCAUCAUUCAUCGCAAGUAUUUAGUAACUGUUGUAGUAGGUGUCUUGCGGGGCUACGGGAUGUACGGGACAGGCCUCUCCCUAAGCAUAGAGAGACAGUGUUAUCGUGCUGACCUUGAUGCAGAGAAAACAGGAGAAGAAGAAGGAUGAGAAAAGAAUGUGGAAACGGCCAAAUAAGGCACAAUGUUAUCUGGUGUGAACCAAUCAGAGUGGGACAUGACAGCACGGUUUUGUAGGUAAAAUGUAUAUAAGCUGUGUUUAGUAGUGAAUAAACGCCAUUUUGCUGCUCAUCAUAUUGGUGUGUGUCUGCAGUCAUUUGGCCCUGAUCAGGCUAUUGAUCAGUGCGUGCAGAGGCCUAACACAGGUGGCUAACAUCGUUGUUGCAGAAAGCAACAAGUAACAUAGAAGCUAUAAUUUCAUAUGUAA
Molecule: long non-coding RNA, 3307 nt
Filed under: Gallus gallus (chicken)
Lineage: Eukaryota; Metazoa; Chordata; Aves; Galliformes; Phasianidae
Source: RNAcentral